Molecule: long non-coding RNA, 783 nt
Filed under: Rattus norvegicus (Norway rat)
Lineage: Eukaryota; Metazoa; Chordata; Mammalia; Rodentia; Muridae
Description: long non-coding RNA NONRATT022896
Source: RNAcentral
GGGCGCUUUCGGCUCCUCUCAGAUGUACAACAACAGCUUUGGGCCCAACUUCCGGGGCCCCGGACCGGGAGGGAUUGUCAACUACAACCAGAUGCCCCUGGGGCCCUAUGUGACUGACAUCUAGCCAUCCUCGUGACUUCCCCCUGUUUCAGCGUUCCUUUCCAGCUGAGCCAAGCCACCUGCCCCACGGGAGAGAAAAGCUACAGCCUUUUUAGGAGUUGGUGCCGUGUCGGGGUACAAAAGGGAAAACAAGCAAUUCUAUCACACGGAGGACAGGCCCAGGCUGGCUGUGCAAGAGUCCAGAAGUGCCACCUCAUCGUAGCUGAAGUGUUCUUCCACACAGCAUCCCAUCGGACAGCCACGCCCGGCAAGGUCCCAGCACCAUUUCCAGAGUGACUUACUUAGAGGAGAUUCCAUUUACCUGUAUUUUUUUUUUUUUUUUUGCACUUUCCUACUGAAGAUGAGAACAUGUUUGUCUUGAUAAAAAGUUGGAUGACGUGUGGAAGAUUCAGAUUCACGACGCUCCUGUCUGUCACCGGCUCCAGACCUCAAGGGGAAGCUCAGCUCUUUGGAGGCCCUUGGUGCUGCUGCUCUAUGGACUCACUGCGGGGCUGGGGAGAAAUGCAGCAUCCAGUGUUCUGGAAACCCUUAGUAUGUCCCCCCCCCAGCCCCUUGACUGCACCCGUGUGACUACCCUUCCGCUCCAGCCCCCUGCCUGCCUGCUUGGGACCCUAGUGCUAGCGGGGGAGGGGAUCAGGUCUGGAGAGUGGCUGCUGACGUCGA